Molecule: ribosomal RNA, 719 nt
Filed under: uncultured Bacilli bacterium
Lineage: Bacteria; Bacillati; Bacillota; Bacilli
Description: bacterial SSU rRNA
Rfam family: Bacterial small subunit ribosomal RNA
Source: RNAcentral
CUUUCUUACACCGAAUGCUUGCAUUCACCGUAAGAAGUUGAGUGGCGGACGGGUGAGUAACACGUGGGUAACCUGCCUAAAAGAAGGGGAUAACACUUGGAAACAGGUGCUAAUACCGUAUAUCUCUAAGGAUCGCAUGAUUCUUAGAUGAAAGAUGGUUCUGCUAUCGCUUUUAGAUGGACCCGCGGCGUAUUAACUAGUUGGUGGGGUAACGGCCUACCAAGGUGAUGAUACGUAGCCGAACUGAGAGGUUGAUCGGCCACAUUGGGACUGAGACACGGCCCAAACUCCUACGGGAGGCAGCAGUAGGGAAUCUUCCACAAUGGACGCAAGUCUGAUGGAGCAACGCCGCGUGAGUGAAGAAGGUCUUCGGAUCGUAAAACUCUGUUGUUAGAGAAGAACACGAGUGAGAGUAACUGUUCAUUCGAUGACGGUAUCUAACCAGCAAGUCACGGCUAACUACGUGCCAGCAGCCGCGGUAAUACGUAGGUGGCAAGCGUUGUCCGGAUUUAUUGGGCGUAAAGGGAACGCAGGCGGUCUUUUAAGUCUGAUGUGAAAGCCUUCGGCUUAACCGGAGUAGUGCAUUGGAAACUGGAAGACUUGAGUGCAGAAGAGGAGAGUGGAACUCCAUGUGUAGCGGUGAAAUGCGUAGAUAUAUGGAAGAACACCAGUGGCGAAAGCGGCUCUCUGGUCUGUAACUGACGCUGAGGUUCGAAAGC